Non-coding RNA from Salvia hispanica, 141 nucleotides. Lineage: Eukaryota; Viridiplantae; Streptophyta; Magnoliopsida; Lamiales; Lamiaceae. The record is from RefSeq and is a predicted model, not a curated record.
GUUGCCUCUAAAAGGCCUUAGGGAUGAGCUCACUCCUUGCUCAUUCUUGUCUUUUUCCUUUCUUGGAAGAUUGAUGAUGCAUUGUAUAUGGGUUGUCAUCCUUGGAGCUUGUGGAGGCCGAAAAUCGAGAAGGAUGGGAAU